AAUCACGUCCAAAAUCAUGGCAACGUUUUGGACAUAUGGAUGAGGUCACUUGUGGUGAGAAUGCCUUGAAAUUCUAUGCAGUUGUAUGACUGAGGAUGAUAAGAACAUGACUACUCCAGAUUGAGGAUAAGGUAACUGCUCUUGGGGUAUGCAUGCAAGUUGGUUGAAAAAUAAUCUUACACAUUCAGUGAAAAGGUUGAAUGGAGGGAUACAAUUAGGCGAAGGCUUUGGCUGCAACUUUGAGGUCUUGGAUUUGGCUUGUUAACAUGGAGUCAUCAUCAAAUAAGAAAGAAACUACCUCUUAGAUCCAAUGACAAACAUGAAGCCAAAUGGUAUGUUCGAAAAUGAUAGAAUCCUUGAUAAGUUAGUCAUGAUCUUAAGAAUGAAGUUGUUUGAUAGAGAGAGAAUCAUAUUAGAUUCUUGAAUGGUUGAGUUAUAAUCAAAUAUGUUAGAUGUAAAAUUACCUAGCUACUUUACAACACCUAAAGUGAGCUGAAGGAUCUUUGAACUUGA
This is a long non-coding RNA of Quercus lobata, 513 nucleotides long. RefSeq lists it as uncharacterized. The record is from RefSeq and is a predicted model, not a curated record. The transcript is spliced from 2 exons. Lineage: Eukaryota; Viridiplantae; Streptophyta; Magnoliopsida; Fagales; Fagaceae.